This 90-nucleotide transfer RNA is filed under the name marine sediment metagenome. It matches the Rfam family "tRNA". Rfam says of the family: Transfer RNA (tRNA) molecules are approximately 80 nucleotides in length. Their secondary structure includes four short double-helical elements and three loops (D, anti-codon, and T loops). Further hydrogen bonds mediate the characteristic L-shaped molecular structure. tRNAs have two regions of fundamental functional importance: the anti-codon, which is responsible for specific mRNA codon recognition, and the 3' end, to which the tRNAs corresponding amino acid is attached (by aminoacyl-tRNA synthetases). tRNAs cope with the degeneracy of the genetic code in two manners: having more than one tRNA (with a specific anti-codon) for a particular amino acid; and 'wobble' base-pairing, i.e. permitting non-standard base-pairing at the 3rd anti-codon position. The record is from RNAcentral.
GGAGAGGUGUCCGAGUGGUUGAAGGAGCACGCCUGGAAAGUGUGUAUACGCUAACCCGUAUCGAGGGUUCGAAUCCCUCUCUCUCCGCCA